This 392-nucleotide ribosomal RNA is filed under the name Cardinium endosymbiont of Bemisia tabaci. RNAcentral describes it as "bacterial SSU rRNA". It matches the Rfam family "Bacterial small subunit ribosomal RNA", at positions 476 to 872 of the family's 1533-position model. The record is from RNAcentral. Lineage: Bacteria; Pseudomonadati; Bacteroidota; Cytophagia; Cytophagales; Amoebophilaceae.
UACUGUAAGAAUAAGCACCGGCUAAUUCCGUGCCAGCAGCCGCGGUAAUACGGAAGGUGCAAGCGUUAUCCGGUUUUAUUGGGUUUAAAGGGUGCGUAGGCGGCUUAUUAAGUCAGUUGUGAAAUCCUAGUGCUUAACGCUAGAACUGCAAUUGAUACUAUUAGGCUUGAGUUAAGAAUAGGUAAGUAGAAUUUAUGGUGUAGUAGUGAAAUGCUUAGAUAUCAUAAAGAAUACCAAUAGCGUAGGCAGCUUACUGGUCUUUAACUGACGCUGAGGCACGAAAGCGUGGGGAGCAAACAGGAUUAGAUACCCUGGUAGUCCACGCCGUAAACGAUGAUCACUCGGUAUACAUAAAUUUAUGUGUGUCUAAGCGAAAGCGUUAAGUGAUCCAC